UACGUAGGGACCAAGCGUUGUUCGGAUUUACUGGGCGUAAAGGGCGCGUAGGCGGCAAUUCAAGUCAGCUGUGAAAUCUCCGGGCUUAACUCGGAACGGUCAGCUGAUACUGCUUUGCUAGAGUGCAGGAGGGGCAAUCGGAAUUCUUGGUGUAGCGGUGAAAUGCGUAGAUAUCAAGAGGAACACCUGAGGUGAAGACGGGUUGCUGGGCUGACACUGACGCUGAGGCGCGAAAGCUAGGGUAGCAAACGGG
Molecule: ribosomal RNA, 253 nt
Filed under: uncultured bacterium
Lineage: Bacteria
Description: partial 16S ribosomal RNA
Rfam family: Bacterial small subunit ribosomal RNA
Source: RNAcentral